RNAcentral lists this long non-coding RNA (855 nucleotides) under Homo sapiens (human). RNAcentral's name for it is "HSALNT0382381". The record is from RNAcentral. Lineage: Eukaryota; Metazoa; Chordata; Mammalia; Primates; Hominidae.
CCUGGCCCUGGGAAGAAGCUGGUCUCUGCAUUGAAUGACAGGGAAGGAUUCUGGAAGACAUAGGAGGAGACGCCAGCAUUUCGCCCUCCAGCACCUCCUGCGGGCUGUGGUCCGCUUCCGGCCUCACUCGAGCAGACCCCGCCCUCCCAGAGGCCGUUUGUCCAAGUCACGUGAUCGUCGAAUCUGUUGACCUGGCGCCACCGGAAAAAGAAAUUCCCGGGCCCUGGCUUCUUGGCCUGAUGGCACUGCUAGCCUUGAAGCCUCCAGCCUGCUGGAUGCCUCCAUCCCCGGCUAUGCUGUGGCUCUCCUCAUUCUAGGCCUCCUGCUCGUCACAUUCACCCUUGUCCUGGUGCUAAAGUGGAGGGCCUCCCAUGGGGUGUUCAGCCUGGGUGUGUAGAAGCACACAGUGUGGUACAGAGGACCCUCUCCAGACAGGUGACCCCUCAUGCUGCUGCUCCCUCUGCUGAAACCCAAACUGCAAACCUCUCCUCUCCCUGCCUUCACCUUGCCCCACGGCUUCCACAGACAGUGCCUCAACCCCGAGGAAUGAAUCCGAAGUUCCAACACCACUGACUUUCCCAGGAACUCAGAGCCAGAGAGGGCCAAGGACCAGCUCGAGGACACACAGCCAGGGCUUCUUCCCUCCGAAACCCCCAAGGACUGGACUUGCAGGGCUGGGACAGAGGUGGGGUGGGGGAAAGCAAUGCCUUGUCAACCCACGUGGGGAGCCCCACUCCCAUCCCCAAGGUGCAUAAAGUUGAGGAACACCCCUGCUCCCACGUCCAUGCUCAUUCAGGGCCCUGCUCCAAGUGCUUGGCACUCACACCAGCCUCCUGCCCUCCACAGGUAUUGGUC